CGUAAACANAGGGAGGCGAGAGUGCGAGCUUAAGCGAACCCCAAAAAUAACGUCCCAGUUCGGAUUGCAGCCUGCAACUCGGCUGCAUGAAGCUGGAAUCGCUAGUAAUCGCGGAUCAGAAUGCCGCGGUGAAUACGUUCCCGGGUCUUGUACACACCGCCCGUCACACCAUGGGAGUCGGGAACGCCCGAAGCCGGUGGCCGAACCCGAGAGGGGAGGAGCCGUCGAAGGCGGGCCUGGUAACUGGGGUGAAGUCGUAACAAGGUAAC
RNAcentral lists this ribosomal RNA (269 nucleotides) under uncultured bacterium. Its description in RNAcentral is "partial 16S ribosomal RNA". It matches the Rfam family "Bacterial small subunit ribosomal RNA", at positions 1234 to 1500 of the family's 1533-position model. The record is from RNAcentral.